Molecule: non-coding RNA, 65 nt
Organism: Dipodomys ordii (Ord's kangaroo rat)
Lineage: Eukaryota; Metazoa; Chordata; Mammalia; Rodentia; Heteromyidae
Source: Rfam
GGUGGCUCAGUGGUAGAGCGCUUGACUUGCAUCCAUGAGGCUCUGGGUUCAAUUCCCCAGCACCA